This 497-nucleotide ribosomal RNA is filed under the name uncultured bacterium. RNAcentral's name for it is "partial 16S ribosomal RNA". It matches the Rfam family "Bacterial small subunit ribosomal RNA", at positions 28 to 507 of the family's 1533-position model. The record is from RNAcentral.
GAUGAACGCUGGCGGCGUGCCUAAUACAUGCAAGUCGAGCGAACGGACGAGAAGCUUGCUUCUCUGAUGUUAGCGGCGGACGGGUGAGUAACACGUGGAUAACCUACCUAUAAGACUGGGAUAACUUCGGGAAACCGGAGCUAAUACCGGAUAAUAUUUUGAACCGCAUGGUUCAAAAGUGAAAGACGGUCUUGCUGUCACUUAUAGAUGGAUCCGCGCUGCAUUAGCUAGUUGGUAAGGUAACGGCUUACCAAGGCAACGAUGCAUAGCCGACCUGAGAGGGUGAUCGGCCACACUGGAACUGAGACACGGUUCAGACUCCUACGGGAGGCAGCAGUAGGGAAUCUUCCGCAAUGGGCGAAAGCCUGACGGAGCAACGCCGCGUGAGUGAUGAAGGUCUUCGGAUCGUAAAACUCUGUUAUUAGGGAAGAACAUAUGUGUAAGUAACUGUGCACAUCUUGACGGUACCUAAUCAGAAAGCCACGGCUAACCACGUG